AACGCACCUUGCGCUCCUUGGUAUUCCGAGGAGCAUGCCUGUUUGAGUGUCAUUAAAUUCUCAACCUCUCCAGCUUUUUUUUUGGCUGGGCAGAGGAUUGGAUGUGGGGGUUGUUGCUGGCUUCGUCCAAAGAGGCCGGCUCCCCUUAAAUGCAUUAGCGGGAACGUCUUGCGGACCGUCACUUGGUGUGAUAAUUAUCUACGCCUAAUGACUGUGAUGCUCUUGUUCUGCUUCUAACCGUCCGCUGACUUGGACAAGCUUCUUUGACAAUUUGACCUCAAAUCAGGUAGGACUACCCGCUGAACUUAA
This 309-nucleotide unclassified non-coding RNA is filed under the name uncultured fungus. RNAcentral's name for it is "sequence contains ITS2". The stretch from base 1 to 52 matches the Rfam family "5.8S ribosomal RNA", at positions 103 to 154 of the family's 154-position model. Lineage: Eukaryota; Fungi. The record is from RNAcentral.